AUUCGACCCCUAGCCUGGGAAUUUCCAUAUGCCACAGGUGUGGCUCCAAAAAGAAAGAAAGAAAAAGUUUGGGUUUUUUUGAGAGGGGGAGGUAUGCUGUGGACAAAGGAACUAGUGAUACCAUCUGUCCACAUGUCAUUUAUGUGCCCAAGGCAGUAUUUCCAGUCUGUUCCUUCCCCCAUAUGGAAAAAACUGACAUUUUGGAUAGAUCAACAACAAUUAUUGGCUUGGAUGGCUAUUUGGCUUAAGCAGAAGUUGGUGGGUUUUAGAGGAUGACUGUGAGUUAUUGUCAACUCAGCCAGGAGGUACCUUCAGCUCCAGCUCCUUUUCCCUUUGAGGUAUCUUGACUGGCAUACACUGCCACUAGCCCUAACAAUUGUUCUGCUGCUAUCGAUCUGCAAAGUACUUUUACCCUCUGUAAAAAUAUAUACAAGAACCAUCAAAAGCUUGUUGCUUUUAUCUAGCAGGACCAGCAGCGCACGCUCAUCAUCUUGCUGUAGGUGAAAUCAAUUUUCUGGCUCUCUGCCAGGAGGUCAGCAGAGGCUUCUGUGUGUCUUGACCUCCCACAAAAACAUCCGGCUGGUCUACUUUCUCCCUGACAUUGCUGAUCUGGCUGUACCAAGUCCCGCAGCUGCCUCAGGAAGGUGUGGAUGAGCUAGUGGUAAAGGGAGACUUCAUUACAGAUGCUGAAGAGUUAAAAGACUAAAACAAGAACACAGGAUGAAAAGAGAGAGACCCCUGAGUGCUGGAGAUCUGGAGUUCUCAGAAGCUGGAGCUUGGAGGAAAAGUCCUACAGACUGACUUUCGAAGGGGCGCUGGCACAGCGGGUACUGAUUCUUGAGUCCCUCACAAAAGGGGUGGGUGGGUGGGUCCUAGAUUAAAACGGGGCCUUGGAGUUCUGAGUGCCAGCCCUUCUCAGUGGUCGCUGAAACUUCUGAGAGAGAAUGAUGAAAACUGCUCCAGGAAUGAAAAAAAAAA
Molecule: long non-coding RNA, 978 nt
Organism: Sus scrofa (pig)
Lineage: Eukaryota; Metazoa; Chordata; Mammalia; Artiodactyla; Suidae
Source: RefSeq, a predicted model, not a curated record